ACGUGGACCACACCUCAAGGCGGCCUGUUCUUCUGGUUCAAAGUGGCUGAUAUGGACAUUACCUCUGACUUUAUAAACAUUCUCAGAGACAGAGGCUUGUCUGUAAUGGCUGGUCAUUAUUUUUUCCAUGGAGGAGGAAAAAGUUCUGGGAUCCGAGCCUCCUACUCAAAUGUCCCAGAGGAGGAUAUUGAGAAGGGAUUCAAGUGUCUUGCAGAUGUGAUUCGAGAGCAGAAAGGUGUUGAGUCAUGAAAUAUACAGGACUCAAGAGGUGGCCAAAAGUGAUGAAACUGAGAGCCAAAAGGACAAAAGGUCAAGAGCGCAGAGGUCAAAGCACGUCUGUUUUUCUGUAUGCAGUUAUUGUUUCAGAAGAUGAACUUCAGUUUCUUUUAUUAUGACAUGUUGACUCUUUGAAUUCGUUCAUUGUAAACAGAAGAAUAUUAAACAUGUAUAGGCUACUGAUCA
Molecule: long non-coding RNA, 462 nt
Organism: Aplysia californica (California sea hare)
Lineage: Eukaryota; Metazoa; Mollusca; Gastropoda; Aplysiida; Aplysiidae
Exons: 2
Source: RefSeq, a predicted model, not a curated record